UACGGAGGGUGCAAGCGUUAUCCGGAUUCACUGGGUUUAAAGGGUGCGUAGGUGGGUCUGUAAGUCAGUGGUGAAAUCUCCGUGCUUAACAUGGAAACUGCCAUUGAUACUAUAGGUCUUGAAUUUUCUGGAGGUAAGCGGAAUAUGUCAUGUAGCGGUGAAAUGCUUAGAUAUGACAUAGAACACCAAUUGCGAAGGCAGCUUACUACGGAUAUAUUGACACUGAGGCACGAAAGCGUGGGGAUCAAACAGG
RNAcentral lists this ribosomal RNA (253 nucleotides) under uncultured bacterium. RNAcentral describes it as "partial 16S ribosomal RNA". It matches the Rfam family "Bacterial small subunit ribosomal RNA", at positions 524 to 776 of the family's 1533-position model. The record is from RNAcentral.